UUCAAGUUGUAACAAGGUUUCCGUAGGUGAACCUGCGGAAGGAUCAUUA
RNAcentral lists this ribosomal RNA (49 nucleotides) under Corynespora cassiicola. Its description in RNAcentral is "partial 18S ribosomal RNA". It matches the Rfam family "Eukaryotic small subunit ribosomal RNA", at positions 1783 to 1831 of the family's 1831-position model. The record is from RNAcentral. Lineage: Eukaryota; Fungi; Ascomycota; Dothideomycetes; Pleosporales; Corynesporascaceae.